Long non-coding RNA from Aricia agestis (brown argus), 279 nucleotides. RefSeq lists it as uncharacterized. The transcript has 2 exons. The record is from RefSeq and is a predicted model, not a curated record. NCBI's taxonomy places the organism in Eukaryota, Metazoa, Arthropoda, Insecta, Lepidoptera, Lycaenidae.
AUUGCGACUCAUAUUAUUUUAAGGAAUUGCGUUAUAACUUAUAACAUAAGAAAAAGAGAAGAUGCUCUGUAUGUGAUUGGGAUCAAGUGUUCACAGACCUCUUGAACCCGUACCACCCUGAGGACGCCUCGGACAGCUCGGGUGAGGAGCUGUCGAGCGGGGAACUGACGGAGACGACCAGCGAGCGACAAGUGCACAAGAGACAGAGAAUCAACGGGAGAUACUACGAUCUCACAUGAUAUGGUUUCAGCGAGUUCACUAAUAAAUUAUAAAACGUCA